ACCGAUAGCGAACAAGUACCGUGAGGGAAAGAUGAAAAGCACUUUGGAAAGAGAGUUAAACAGUACGUGAAAUUGUUGAAAGGGAAACGAUUGAAGUCAGUCAUGCUCUUGGGACUUACCUCCCUUGAGUGGGGUCAACAUCAGUUUUGAUCGAUGGAUAAAGGCACUAGGAAGGUAGCACCCUCGGGUGAACUUAUAGCCUAGCGUCAUAUACAUUGAUUGGGACUGAGGAACGCAGCAUGCCUUUAUGGCCGGGAUUCGUCCACGUACAUGCUUAGGAUGUUGACAUAAUGGCUUUAAACGACCCGUCUUGAAACACGGACCAAG
Molecule: ribosomal RNA, 327 nt
Filed under: Naganishia albida
Lineage: Eukaryota; Fungi; Basidiomycota; Tremellomycetes; Filobasidiales; Filobasidiaceae
Description: partial large subunit ribosomal RNA
Rfam family: Eukaryotic large subunit ribosomal RNA
Source: RNAcentral